Olea europaea var. sylvestris is the source of this 1155-nucleotide long non-coding RNA. RefSeq lists it as uncharacterized. The record is from RefSeq and is a predicted model, not a curated record. NCBI's taxonomy places the organism in Eukaryota, Viridiplantae, Streptophyta, Magnoliopsida, Lamiales, Oleaceae. The transcript has 2 exons.
UCCAUAAGCCAGAUGGAUGAAUUGCUCAGGAAGUAUCCGAUAUCCGAACCGGAAAAUGAGUCCAUAUCCGAUAUUGUCGACUCGUUAAGACUCAAAUUUAGGGCGAUUUGUGCCACGCUGAAUGUGAAAUUGGAGUAUAAUGGGUACCCUAAAGCCUCUGGUGCUGAAAACAUGGAAUUUUGAAAUUUUGUUCCAUUGACCGUGAGAGGCUGAGUUACCAGAUUGGGCAAUCUGUUACCUGCCGAUUGGGCCAUUGUCAUGUCAAUUUUGUAUAUUCUACUCAAACCAAAGUCCUUCCAGUUUCUGAUGCCAUAUUUGCUUUGUAAGAACACCAUGUCUGUUACCAAAUUCAAUGCGUUGGUUUCCAUGUUGUUUAUGAGUGGUAGUUGCACUAAAAAGAAAAGGUUCGAGCAUCAGAAUCUGACUUGCUAAGCCUUGCUGAGAGGGAAAUCCGAAACUUUAAAUGAAGAGAGAUUUCAAAGAAGACUUCCUGAACUGGUUCAGAAAUUCUUCGCGAGUUAAAAGAGCGAAAGGGCCCUCUGUUUUUUAGCUGAAAAACCGAACUUAUGGGAAGAAAGUUGCCUUUGCUCAUCUUCUGCUGACUGCUGUUGCAAGAAGCUCAAUAUCUGCACAUGGGAUUCAUCUGUAUUAAUUGCUGUAUUAAUUUAUCUGAGAUCAAAAGGUCAUCUUAUACCUAUAUCCGUUCUUUCCAACCUCACACAUCAGAAUGCCCUGUUCUUAUAGAGAGAAACGUGCUUUCGCAUCUUCGUGACCCUGAAUGAAAUGGCUGGAGAGAGGAAUGGUGAUUUAGUUUUGAUUUCUUCUUUUCGAUUUUCUAAUAUUGUCCAAUCCAAUAGUGCCAAUAAAGUUUAUUUGAAGCUUGAUUCAUCAUGUAGGCAAUCUCGGGGGAGACAUGAGAGUUUAGAGGUAGCAAAAUAGGUAGAUCAAUUCAGUCAUUUUAGUGCCAUCCCGCUGUUUCUCCUUGAUUUCUGGUUUUUCGGCUUGAUCACCAAAAUCGUAUUCCCCAAGAACUUGCUUUGCCAAAUUCUAAUUGGUAAGGUUUUUACUCUCUAUUGUGGUGCAACUUGUACAAAGGAUAUUUUUAUGAUUUUAGAGUGCUUAUACGUCUAAGAAUUUGGUAUAUUAUUCACUUCA